This 253-nucleotide ribosomal RNA is filed under the name uncultured bacterium. RNAcentral's name for it is "partial 16S ribosomal RNA". It matches the Rfam family "Bacterial small subunit ribosomal RNA", at positions 524 to 776 of the family's 1533-position model. The record is from RNAcentral.
UACGGAGGGUGCAAGCGUUAUCCGGAUUCACUGGGUUUAAAGGGUGCGUAGGUGGAUCGGUAAGUCCGUGGUGAAAUCCCCGAGCUUAACUCGGGAACUGCCGUGGAUACUAUCGAUCUUGAAUACUGUGGAGGUAAGCGGAAUAUGUCAUGUAGCGGUGAAAUGCUUAGAUAUGACAUAGAACACCGAUAGCGAAGGGAGCUUGCUACACAGUUAUUGACACUGAGGCACGAAAGCGUGGGGAGCAAACAGG